CUAACCUGCAGCUUGUGUUUACACAGCUUCCAACAGUUCAAAAAGCCAAGGGAAGAUCAGAAGCUUAUCUUCCAGCCAACUGGGGUGGGUUGGUGGGGGUUGGUGGAAUUUGACAGAAGCUUGUAAUCAGCCACAUUGGAGGAUGAGGGGAAGGCCUGUCAUCUGUUUUGAAACGUGUUACGACAAGAUGUUACAUUUCUGGAAACCUGGGUGCAGAAAAAGAUGCACUUUUCUGAGAGUUUGUGCGGAUUGAGUGAAUCUGCUUCAUUUCAGCCCGAAGUUGCUGGAGGGUCCUUCGUCAGGAGACAGUAUAUAUAGACUUGCCAGAAGUGCAAUAAUUAUUCAGUCUCUUUCUCAGUAUUAAGCCAAUGUACAAAAUAAUUACACAUCUGCUUCUAUAGUAUGCACAGAUGUUGCUGUUGUUGUCAUUGAUUUGUUCAUUUGUUUUUGUUCAUCUUCCAUGAAUCUAUUCACAGCCGGGAAGCCAACUCCACUGUUGGUGGACAUUAAAACCUAAACAAAACAAAAAUUCCUUAGAAGACAGUUAAAGGACGGGUACGUUUAAGAGUAUGUCUCUUUUUCCCUCAGUCAAAUCUUUAUUUUUGUAAACUUUGUUUUAUCUUAAUUGAGAGGUAGUUGAAUUCCUCAGGUGUACCAAACAUUUCAAGGUCUAUAAAUAAGCCAGUUUUCUUCAUGCGUAAUCAACAUGUUGCCUAG
This 717-nucleotide long non-coding RNA is filed under the name Homo sapiens (human). Its description in RNAcentral is "HSALNT0264028". The record is from RNAcentral. Lineage: Eukaryota; Metazoa; Chordata; Mammalia; Primates; Hominidae.